CCGGAUAGCUCAGUCGGUAGAGCAUCAGA
Molecule: non-coding RNA, 29 nt
Filed under: Xenopus tropicalis (tropical clawed frog)
Lineage: Eukaryota; Metazoa; Chordata; Amphibia; Anura; Pipidae
Also listed under: 8 other names
Source: RNAcentral